RNAcentral lists this ribosomal RNA (2671 nucleotides) under Vibrio natriegens. RNAcentral describes it as "bacterial LSU rRNA". The stretch from base 3 to 2012 matches the Rfam family "Bacterial large subunit ribosomal RNA". The record is from RNAcentral. Lineage: Bacteria; Pseudomonadati; Pseudomonadota; Gammaproteobacteria; Vibrionales; Vibrionaceae.
UUAAGUGACUAAGCGUACACGGUGGAUGCCUUGGCAGUCAGAGGCGAUGAAGGACGUAUUAACUUGCGAUAAGCCCAGAUUAGGCAGUAAAAGCCACUUGAGUCUGGGAUUUCCGAAUGGGGAAACCCACUUACAUAAGUAAGUAUCCUGUUGUGAAUACAUAGCAACAGGAGGCGAACCGGGGGAACUGAAACAUCUAAGUACCCCGAGGAAAAGAAAUCAACCGAGAUUCCGAAAGUAGCGGCGAGCGAAAUUGGACUAGCCCUUAAGCUUUACACACGUUAGACGAACGGUCUGGAAAGGCCGACGAUACAGGGUGAUAGUCCCGUAGUUGACGAUGUGUGUUCAGUGAAAUCGAGUAGGGCGGGACACGUGAUAUCCUGUCUGAAUAUGGGGGGACCAUCCUCCAAGGCUAAAUACUACUGACUGACCGAUAGUGAACCAGUACCGUGAGGGAAAGGCGAAAAGAACCCCUGUGAGGGGAGUGAAAUAGAACCUGAAACCGUGUACGUACAAGCAGUAGGAGCAGGCUUUGUCCUGUGACUGCGUACCUUUUGUAUAAUGGGUCAGCGACUUAUAUUCAGUGGCAAGGUUAACCAUCUAGGGGAGCCGUAGGGAAACCGAGUCUUAACUGGGCGUUCAGUCUCUGGAUAUAGACCCGAAACCAGGUGAUCUAGCCAUGGGCAGGUUGAAGGUUGAGUAACAUCAACUGGAGGACCGAACCGACUAAUGUUGAAAAAUUAGCGGAUGACUUGUGGCUAGGGGUGAAAGGCCAAUCAAACCUGGAGAUAGCUGGUUCUCCCCGAAAGCUAUUUAGGUAGCGCCUCGGACGAAUACUACUGGGGGUAGAGCACUGUUAAGGCUAGGGGGUCAUCCCGACUUACCAACCCUUUGCAAACUCCGAAUACCAGUAAGUACUAUCCGGGAGACACACGGCGGGUGCUAACGUCCGUCGUGGAGAGGGAAACAACCCAGACCGCCAGCUAAGGUCCCAAAUUACUACUAAGUGGGAAACGAUGUGGGAAGGCUCAGACAGCCAGGAUGUUGGCUUAGAAGCAGCCAUCAUUUAAAGAAAGCGUAAUAGCUCACUGGUCGAGUCGGCCUGCGCGGAAGAUGUAACGGGGCUAAGUAGUAAACCGAAGCUGCGGCAAUAUACUUUUGUAUAUUGGGUAGGGGAGCGUUCUGUAAGCGGUUGAAGGUGUGUGGUAACGCAUGCUGGACGUAUCAGAAGUGCGAAUGCUGACAUGAGUAACGAUAAAGGGGGUGAAAAACCUCCUCGCCGGAAGACCAAGGGUUCCUGUCCAACGUUAAUCGGGGCAGGGUAAGUCGACCCCUAAGGCGAGGCCGAAAGGCGUAGUCGAUGGGAAACGGGUUAAUAUUCCCGUACUUCUUACAAUUGCGAUGGGGGGACGGAGAAGGCUAGGUGGGCCUGGCGACGGUUGUCCAGGUUCAAGUGCGUAGGCUUGAGAGUUAGGUAAAUCCGGCUCUCUUUAAGGCUGAGACACGACGUCGAGCUACUACGGUAGUGAAGUCAUUGAUGCCAUGCUUCCAGGAAAAGCCUCUAAGCUUCAGAUUGUAAGGAAUCGUACCCCAAACCGACACAGGUGGUCGGGUAGAGAAUACCAAGGCGCUUGAGAGAACUCGGGUGAAGGAACUAGGCAAAAUGGUACCGUAACUUCGGGAGAAGGUACGCUCUCGACGGUGAAGUCCCUCGCGGAUGGAGCUAUUGAGAGUCGCAGAUACCAGGUGGCUGCAACUGUUUAUUAAAAACACAGCACUGUGCAAAAUCGUAAGAUGACGUAUACGGUGUGACGCCUGCCCGGUGCCGGAAGGUUAAUUGAUGGGGUUAGACUUCGGUCGAAGCUCUUGAUCGAAGCCCCGGUAAACGGCGGCCGUAACUAUAACGGUCCUAAGGUAGCGAAAUUCCUUGUCGGGUAAGUUCCGACCUGCACGAAUGGCGUAAGUAUAAUGUUGAGACAGUGCGAGUUCCAAUGCUUUUUCUGACAGUUUUUGGGCCGGAGAGGCGAAGAGUUUGGGAUGCAUGCUCGAUAUCGCUAACAAUGAUUUUUGCAAGCGAAUUUGAACUUGGAGUUGGGCUGCGCCAUCAUGUGCUAUCGGCAAAAAGACAUCAUCAAACAAAUCUUGGCAGCUUAAUGAAGGCACAAACAAUCGAGGAAAAACGCGUUUUUAUGGGUCUUUGCUUUAGUAACUCCCCCCAAAGUGAUAAUGCCCUUAUAGCGCGCCCGAGUACAUCAAUGGCGGUGCCGUUGUCAUUGACUGCAGGGAGAGCGCUCUUGAAGCUAUUUCCGCCAAAACGACCAAGCCAAAACGAGGGUCUUGGUCGAAGGAACGCUCUGUUCGAAUGGUGAAAGCUGCGCUAACUUCGCUUUCUUCUUUUAGCUCUCCACAUAACCAAGCGAUGGGUUGCCCUAAAUAAACAAAGUUACCCCGGCUGACGUUCUAUGUAAAUAGUGCAUUGGUUCUCUUCGGCAAUGCUGUCAAGAUGGUGCAUAUCAAUAUGCUGUAAGUAACCUAUUUCUUGGCUGUAAAUAGGUUUGCUUCCCCUAGGUUUAUGUUCAGGGUGACUCCAGGGGCGAGCCCCAAGCCAAGGCUCAUUUCCACGCUUGCGAAUCGCACUUAUCAGAGCUUGUUCGACUUUUGACGUUGUUUC